Molecule: transfer RNA, 74 nt
Filed under: Saccharothrix sp. ST-888
Lineage: Bacteria; Bacillati; Actinomycetota; Actinomycetes; Pseudonocardiales; Pseudonocardiaceae
Rfam family: tRNA
About the family: Transfer RNA (tRNA) molecules are approximately 80 nucleotides in length. Their secondary structure includes four short double-helical elements and three loops (D, anti-codon, and T loops).
Source: Rfam by way of RNAcentral
GCGCCGCUAGCUCAGUUAGUUAGUGCAGCUGGCUCUUAUUCAGGCGGUCCGGGGUUCGAGUCCCUGGCGGCGCA